RNAcentral lists this ribosomal RNA (657 nucleotides) under uncultured fungus. RNAcentral's name for it is "eukaryotic LSU rRNA". It matches the Rfam family "Eukaryotic large subunit ribosomal RNA", at positions 24 to 664 of the family's 3401-position model. The record is from RNAcentral. Lineage: Eukaryota; Fungi.
CCCGCUGAACUUAAGCAUAUCAGUAAGCGGAGGAAAAGAAACUAACAAGGAUUCCCCUAGUAACGGCGAGUGAAGCGGGAAGAGCUCAAAUUUAAAAACCGGCGGUUUCACCGUCCGAGUUGUAAUCUGGAGAAGUGUUUUCCGUGUCGGACCGUGUACAAGUCUCUUGGAACAGAGCGUCAUAGAGGGUGAGAAUCCCGUCUUUGACACGGACUACCGAUGCUAUGUGAUGCACUCUCGAAGAGUCGAGUUGUUUGGGAAUGCAGCUCAAAAUGGGUGGUAAAUUCCAUCUAAAGCUAAAUAUUGGCGAGAGACCGAUAGCGAACAAGUACCGUGAGGGAAAGAUGAAAAGCACUUUGGAAAGAGAGUUAUACAGUACGUGAAAUUGUUGAAAGGGAAACGAUUGUUGUUAAUCGCGUCUUCCCAGUUUCAGCAGGGUUUCUUCUCGGUGUAGUAAAACGUCUUUGCCUCAGCUUCAACAUUCCUCGGUGGGUUUGGGCGGGAGGCUUAAAACACCACGCGGAAGGUGUCUUAGUUUUUUAAGAUCAUCGUCCUGAUAGACACGGGUAGCACAUGCCGCUUGGCCAAGAGCAACAAUAGAUGUAUAACUUUAGUAUAUCAUCAUGCAUUUGAUCAUCGACCCGUCUUGAAACACGG